RNAcentral lists this ribosomal RNA (460 nucleotides) under uncultured bacterium. Its description in RNAcentral is "partial 16S ribosomal RNA". It matches the Rfam family "Bacterial small subunit ribosomal RNA", at positions 338 to 795 of the family's 1533-position model. The record is from RNAcentral.
CCUACGUGAGGCAGCAGUGAGGAAUGUUGGUCACUGGGCGCGAGCCUGAACCAGCCAAGUCGCGUGAGGGAAGACGGCCCUACGGGUUGUAAACCUCUUUUGCCGGGGAGCAACGGGCGCCACGUGUGGCGCCACUGAGAGUACCCGGAGAAAAAGCAUCGGCUAACUCCGUGCCAGCAGCCGCGGUAAUACGGAGGAUGCGAGCGUUAUCCGGAUGUAUUGGGUUUAAAGGGUGCGUAGGCGGUGCGUUAAGUCAGUGGUCAAAUUGAGGGGCUCAACCCCUUCCCGCCAGUGAAACUGGCGCUAUUGAGUGGAAGAGAAGUAUGCGGAAUGCGUGGUGUAGCGGUGAAAUGCAUAGAUAUCACGCAGAACCCCGAUUGCGAAGGCAGCAUGCCGGCUUCCUACUGACGCUGAAGCACGAAAGCGUGGGGAUCGAACAGGAUUAGAUACCCGUGUAGUC